Apodemus sylvaticus (European woodmouse) is the source of this 991-nucleotide long non-coding RNA. RefSeq lists it as uncharacterized. Lineage: Eukaryota; Metazoa; Chordata; Mammalia; Rodentia; Muridae. The transcript has 2 exons. The record is from RefSeq and is a predicted model, not a curated record.
AGAAGAUGCACUGGUACCUGGGCCAGGACAGCAGGGAAUAGGGCAGGAACAGAGCCACUUAAGUUAAAGGCCCUGAAGGCAGGGCCUCAUCUUGCCCUGUCAUCUGCAGCCCUCGAACCUGUAACACCCCAGCGACUUGUUCUUCCUCCCUUCCUGCUGUCUGCCUGCUGUACCCUGCCAGCCUCCGGGGUGGGACUAAGCUCAGCACCCUGCCAGCCUCCGGGGUGGGACUAAGCUCAGCACCCUGCCAGCCUCCGGAGUGGGACUAAGCUCAGCACCCUGACAGCCUCCAGAGUGGGACUAAGCUCAGCAUCCUGACUCCUGCUAGCUUCCACUCUCAGCCUCGGCUGUCCUGGGGAACCGGGAAUAGCCACAUAUUUUCGCUCCCGAAAUGCCUUCUGUGGUACAAAUGACAGGAUGGACAUGUUAAGAAAACACCCGGUGUUUUUCUGUGUGCCCUACAUCCCAGUGGGCAGGCCUGUACCCACAGUCCUCUCCUGUGGGGGCAAAUGUCUCUUUCCUUCCUAGCUUUUCCCACAGCACCAAGCCUGGUUGGACAGGCAAGAUGCUGGCAUCCAGCACUGGGGCUGAAAGGAGGCACGUGCAGUCCUGGAGGAGAGAAACAGAAACUGUGUCAGAAAUCAAGAGAAAGGAGAGGGUCCUCCCAAGGAAAGGAUUCACGGUGUGGGCAUCGGUUCAACCUUCAAAGACACCUCGACCUCGGCUGCUCUGCAAACCCUGCGAACCCUGAUCCCUACCGGGAGCCUGUCAGGCUAUUUGGCCAAAUCCAAUCAGACCAAGGAGGCCACAAGAUUAUCGCUGAGCUUGCCCUGCCAGCACAACACAGGAAGCACAACAAGAUGAUUUGCAUAUCCCCAAUUCACCUCGGGAGAGCUCACACACACUUCACUCCCGCCGUUCAGGGCAGCCUCAGCCUCUCUCCAAUCCCUUUGACCCAGUCUUGGGGCUCAAAGAAAUCAAAAGAUUUGCA